Molecule: ribosomal RNA, 253 nt
Filed under: uncultured bacterium
Lineage: Bacteria
Description: partial 16S ribosomal RNA
Rfam family: Bacterial small subunit ribosomal RNA
Source: RNAcentral
UACGAAGGGGGCUAGCGUUGCUCGGAAUCACUGGGCGUAAAGCGCACGUAGGCGGCUUUUUAAGUCAGGGAUGAAAUCCUGGAGCUCAACUCCAGAACUGCCUUUGAUACUGGGAAGCUUGAGUCCGGAAGAGGUGAGUGGAACUCCGAGUGUAGAGGUGAAAUUCGUAGAUAUUCGGAGGAACACCAGUGGCGAAGGCGGCUCACUGGUCCGGUACUGACGCUGAGGUGCGAAAGCGUGGGGAGCAAACAGG